UGGGGAAUUUUGGACAAUGGGCGAAAGCCUGAUCCAGCAAUGCCGCGUGUGUGAAGAAGGCCUUCGGGUUGUAAAGCACUAUUGUCCGGAAAGAAAUGGCCCUGGUCAAUACCUGGGGUCGAUGACGGUACCGGAAGAAUAAGGACCGGCUAACUACGUGCCAGCAGCCGCGGUAAUAAGUAGGGUCCAAGCGUCAAUCAGAAUUACUGGGCGGAAAGCGUGCGCAGGCGGUUGUGCAAGACCGAUGUGAAAUCCCCGAGCUUAACUUGGGAAUUGCAUUGAUGACUGCACGGCUAUGGUGUGUCAGAGGGGGGUAGAAUUCAACGUGUAGCCGUGAAAUGCGUAGAGAUGUGGAGGAAUACCGAUGGCGAAGGCAGCCCCCUGAAAUAACGCUGACGCUCUUGCACGAAAGCGUGGGGGGCAAACAGG
RNAcentral lists this ribosomal RNA (429 nucleotides) under Acidobacteriota bacterium. Its description in RNAcentral is "Acidobacteria bacterium partial 16S ribosomal RNA". It matches the Rfam family "Bacterial small subunit ribosomal RNA", at positions 355 to 776 of the family's 1533-position model. The record is from RNAcentral. Lineage: Bacteria; Pseudomonadati; Acidobacteriota.